This 28-nucleotide non-coding RNA is filed under the name Mus musculus (house mouse). Lineage: Eukaryota; Metazoa; Chordata; Mammalia; Rodentia; Muridae. The record is from RNAcentral.
UGUCCACCUGUCUAUGAAGGGGCACCGA